Molecule: ribosomal RNA, 523 nt
Filed under: uncultured Actinomycetes bacterium
Lineage: Bacteria; Bacillati; Actinomycetota; Actinomycetes
Description: bacterial SSU rRNA
Rfam family: Bacterial small subunit ribosomal RNA
Source: RNAcentral
UUGGACAAUGGGCGAAAGCCUGAUCCAGCAACGCCGCGUGAGGGAUGACGGCCUUCGGGUUGUAAACCUCUUUCAGUAGGGACGAAGCUAACGUGACGGUACCUACAGAAGAAGCACCGGCCAACUACGUGCCAGCAGCCGCGGUAAUACGUAGGGUGCGAGCGUUGUCCGGAAUUAUUGGGCGUAAAGGGCUCGUAGGCGGUUUGUCACGUCGGGAGUGAAAACUCGGGGCUUAAACUCCGAGCCUGCUUCCGAUACGGGCUGACUAGAGGUAUGCAGGGGAGAACGGAAUUCCUGGUGUAGCGGUGAAAUGCGCAGAUAUCAGGAGGAACACCGGUGGCGAAGGCGGUUCUCUGAGCAUUACCUGACGCUGAGGAGCGAAAGUGUGGGGAGCGAACAGGAUUAGAUACCCUGGUAGUCCACACCGUAAACGUUGGGCGCUAGGUGUGGGACUCAUUCCACGAGUUCCGUGCCGCAGCUAACGCAUUAAGCGCCCCGCCUGGGGAGUACGGCCGCAAGGCUA